This 439-nucleotide ribosomal RNA is filed under the name uncultured bacterium. RNAcentral describes it as "partial 16S ribosomal RNA". It matches the Rfam family "Bacterial small subunit ribosomal RNA", at positions 338 to 795 of the family's 1533-position model. The record is from RNAcentral.
CCUACGGGAGGCAGCAGUAGGGAAUUUUUCACAAUGGGCGAAAGCCUGAUGGAGCAACGCCGCGUGAAGGAUGAAGGCCUUCGGGUUGUAAACUGCUUUUAUCAGCGAGAAAUAUGAUGGUAAUUUAUGAAUAAGCAUCGGCUAACUCCGUGACAGCAGCCGCGGUAAUAAGGCGGAUGCGAGCGUUAUCCGGAUUUAUUGGGUGUAAUGGGUGCGUAGGCGUAACAUUAAGUCAGCGGGUAAAGCCAGGGGCUAAACCCCUUUAAGCCGUUGAAACUGGUGAUCUUGAGUGGGCGAGAAGUAUGCGGAAUGCGUGGUGUAGCGGUGAAAUGCAUAGAUAUCACGCAGAACUCCAGUUGCGAAGGCAGUAUACCGGCGCCCGACUGACGCUGAGGCACGAAAGCGUGGGGAGCGAACAGGAUUAGAUACCCGAGUAGUC